GGCCCCAUAGUAUAAUGGCUAGUAUACCGGGCUUUCAUCCCGGAGAUUGGAGUUCGAUCCUCCAUGGGGCUA
Molecule: transfer RNA, 72 nt
Filed under: bacterium
Lineage: Bacteria
Description: tRNA-Glu
Rfam family: tRNA
About the family: Transfer RNA (tRNA) molecules are approximately 80 nucleotides in length. Their secondary structure includes four short double-helical elements and three loops (D, anti-codon, and T loops).
Source: RNAcentral